GUUUUUCCUAAACUUUCAUAGAUUUACUGAUCAAAUAAGCUAGCAUUACAUCUCCUAGAUGUUUAAGAUUAUGAAAAAUGUAAAUUUGUGUUUAACCAAAUUGAAUUAUUAUUCUGGCACACUUUAUUUCAACAGUAAUUAUGCUUUGCAGUAUGUCAGCUUGGAAAUAGUUUCCAAGAUUUUCAGAUAGCUAAAAACCUGUACUGAUGCUAAAUAGAGUUAAUUAAUGGAUAUUCGUUACACGCCUAGAUCACUUGUACAUAGGAUAGGAUACUGAAAUUAAUUGCAAAGCAGAAUUUUAAGUUUAUAUAAUUUUUACGUACUUUUCCCUCUCAUUUUUAUAAGAUACAGCGAGGCUAUAUAUUUAAUGUUAAUGAAUGUGUUCAUUUUCGCAACUUUGGGAUGUGCAUAGCCAUAAAAAGUUAUGAGAUGUACAUUCAUAAGAUCUGCUAGUCUGCUAAAAAUGUUAGUGUAUUAUAAACCUCCUAGUUUUCUUUGUAAAAUAGAAGGGACUGUGGUUAAAAACUCUAAUCCAUAUGUGUGAAUGAGACUCAGAGCAAUAGUGGCAGAGAGGAACAACUCUGUAUGGAAUGUAUGCAGGAUGAAUUUUUGUUUAAACAAAGAAAGGGUAGUUUGUGCUAAACUAAAAUAACUCUGUUCCAGAAUGAGAAGGAGGAAAGUGUAGGAAAAAAUCUAAAUGGAUAUAGAAAGUUGUAGAAGGUUCUCAGAAAGGGGAUUUUUAAUUGUGGUGGUCAAGGCUAAAGUUUAAUGGAUUUAUUUAUAAGGUUUUCAAAAAGAGUUUUAAUAAACACUGUAUACAAUAUAUCUGAUGCAGAACUAGCAUUUGGUUUUCUCUCUGUUAAAAUGACAAAAUCUUCUUGGAUUACAUGCCUGCUUUAUUCGUUAAGAGGUUGGAAAAGAUUUUUCUUUGCCUUCUAAAUAAUUUGUCAAAGAUUCUCUGUCUUAUCAGGGUUAUUUCCUGCAUUUUAUGUUGAUUUUAUCAUGUCCUCGAUUAUUUAAGAGAACAAAGUCUUCCCAUUUUUGAAAGAGCCAGUGUUCUUUACAAUCAUGUUACCUCCUGUGUAUACUUUUAAAACCUUUUAUUGUCAUCUUGGUUAAAUAAGUAACCAAGUAUUGUUUUCCAGUAACCCAUGAUUCUAUUUCAGCAAGUGUUCAAACCUCCAGACGACUUUUGAUACUUUGCCUUCCCAACAUCAAAUCCUAAAUGAUAUAUUUUGCACCUAAAACUGGUUUCCCAGGGGGGCCCUGAAAAACAUUUAGAAAGAAUUUGUUCUUUAUCUUAUAAAAAGAGAGGUUCUAGUCAUAAUUAGGUUUAUUUGAUAUGUGACUAUUGAUGAGUUGCAUGGGAAGACUGAUCAAAUCAGAAGAAAUGCUUAACCUUCCCCAGGCUAAAUUUUUGCAUUCCUCUUUAAGAUAUCUGAUGUCCAGGACUCCAAAAUAACUGACCUUUUCCAUCACUUCUCCAUAAAUGGUUUGACUGAUUUUGCAGAAACAGUGCCAAAAAGAGGUCGUAAGAGAUUAUUUCUUGGACUCUGCUUGGCCCCACGCAGGAGGUUUAUUCUUACCUCUGAGUUGUUCAGUGAAGAAUGAUAUUCAUUCAUCUUUAACAAAAAUCUGACAAUAUUGAACUUCACCUGAGCCCUGUGCUCUUGGAGGAUAGCAACAGUUGAGAAAUCCAUACCCCAACCUUUUGUGUUCCAGGAAAUGGCUUGCUGCAAAGAACUACUCUCCUCCAUAACACUUAGAUAAGACUCACUGUCCACUCUUUCUCAUGAUUCCCACGAGACUUGAGGAUAACACCACUAUGCACCUGUGACGAGGCCAAACAUAUAUUUCUCUCCUUUUGCACGCACCUGCUGAGAAGGUCAAACUGACCAUCUUCCUUCUUGUUCUUUGUCUCAUGAUUGAUUAGCUGAGAUUAGAAGUGUUUGCUCCCUGAAACUGGCUGUGGUUAAUUUAUGUGUCAACUUGACUGAGCUAAGGGGUGCUCAGAUAACUGGUAAAAUGUCGCUGUGUGUGUCUGUGAGGGUGUUUCUAGAAGAGAUUAGCGUUUGAAUUGGUGAACUGAGUCAAGCAGAGGGCCCUUCCCAUGGGGCCCAGCCAUGUGGGUGGCUGGGUGGGAGUCAUCCAAUCCUUUGACAGCCGAAUAGAAUAAAAAAGGCAGAGGAAGGACAAAUUCACUCUCUGCUUGAGCUUCUUCUGUCCAUCCAUCUUCUUCUGUCUUCAGAUAGCCAAGCUCCUGGUUCUCAGGCUUUGGGACUCACGCUGACACUUACCUCAUCAGCCCCGAUUGUCCGGUCUUUGGACUUGGACUGAAUUAUGUCACCAGUUUUCCUGGUCCUCCAGCUUGCAGAUGGCAGAUUGUGGGACUUCUUAGCCUCCAUAACUGUGUGAGCCAAUGCCUAUAAUAAAUCUCCUCAUAUAUAUCUAUAUAGAUUGCUACUGGUUCUGUUUUUCUGGAGAAUCUUGACUAAUACACCAGCUAUUCACAGGGAAAGAAACAUAUCCUGUUCAACUAACCAACCGAGGGAGACUUCCCCUGCUCAGAAAACAUCUCCAACCACAGACCACUCCGUCUGCAACUUGUUUACUCCUCUUUUUGAAACUCUAAGGCAAAACCACCCACCGAGAUACUCUGAUCUUUAGAUCUGGGAUGCUCUCCCUAUUGCAAUAGCUUGAAUACAAUUAAUAUCCUUACCAGUCCAGUUUUUGUCUUUGACAAUAGCAAAAAGGAUUUUGGUAUGUAUUUAGGGUCCCUAAUCAGUUUAUUUUAAGACAAGGAGAUUCUCCUUGGUGGGACUAACUUAAUCAGUUGAGACCUUUAGAAGCAGAGCCUUUUCUCUGGCUAGUCACAGAAGGGGAGAUCAGAGAGAUGUGCUCCUGCUGACCAGCAAGAAAGCAAGCGUCCGUGCUGUAACUGCCUGUGGGUGCCAUAUGGCAAGGAAGUGCAGGAGGCCUCCAGGAGCUGAGAGUGGCCCCCAGCUGAUACCCAGCCAGAUACUGGGGGCUUUAGUCUUUUAACUGCAAGGAACUAAACUCUGCCAAGAAUGUGGGUGGGCUUGGAAAAGUUCCUGUAGCCCCAGAUGAGAACUGCAACCUGACUGACACUCUAAUUUCACCCUGUGGCACUCUGACCCGAGAACCAAGCCACAUCAUGUCAGACUUCUGACCUGCAGAACUGACAAUUAAUAACCAGGUGGUGUUUUAAGCUGCUACAUUUGUGGAAAUUUGUUACACAGCAAUAGAAAACUAGUAAAACCCCUGACAAAUCAUUCUGUGUCUUCAUUGAUCUGCAGCUUUUCUCCUUUCUCAAUGGUUGAUACCUCUAUCUACGCUAUGAUCUCACUUGCUUCUGCCCCUGUAUCCACAGGCAUCUUACUCCAUUGAUUGCUCCUGUUGUCACUCUGCCUCUAUCAUCCAUCCUCUUCAACAUGUAAACAUGGUGAAAUCUCUCCUAUUACAAAAAAACCCUCCACUGAUCCCUUCUUCCCUUAGCUAUGAACUGAUUUGAAAGAACAGUAGUCUACACUUGAUGUUUCUACUUUCUUACCUCUUAUUUACCACUCAUCCAUAUAAAAGGGCUUUCAACCAAACACACUAUCAAAAUUCUUCUCAGCAAGUCACUAGUGAUAUCAAUUUUGCUACAUUCAGUAGAGAAUCAUCACACUUGAUCUCUUCGCAUAUUUUACAGUGUUACUUAUUGAUACUCUCCUGGUUUCCAUAACACCACUCUCGGGGCUUUUCGCUUAUUUCUCUGAUAAUUUCUUCACUCCUUCUCAGUCUUCUUUACGGGGGUCCUCUUCCUCUACCCAUUCCAUGUAUUAACAUUAUAGCUCAAAUUUCUAGGGGUUUUGCACUCACUCCUAAUGUGAGUUCUGCAGACACCUACAAAUCUCAUGUGCACACACACAUACCCCUUUGGUUUUAUUGGGAUUCACUUCUUAUAAACAAGUUCACUUCUCUGGUUGCUGCAACGGCUCCGUUAUGUGAUCUCCUUCCCAUCACAGCUCAUGAGCUCAGUUGCACAUUAGCCUCCCCAUGGUGGCUGCCCCUGCUCUACCAAACUUCACAUCCUCUUCCAAUGCUGCCACCACCUUGGCAACUAGAAACAGAAUCCAGAAGCUCCAGCCCCUCAACCUCGUAUUCAAAUUGGGCGGUCACCACGAGUAAACUGAGCAAACUGAGUCUGCGGUGGGAAAUGCAAUGCCUCUGCCCUCUUGUUUCAUCUGCUGUUAGAGGAAGUCUCUAGCUAGUCUUGUUUGUUCCUUGAUGCCUCACAACAUUCAGGGAAAAAUCUUUCUGCAUUUUUUGCAGCCUUUUUUCUCUCCAGGACUCAGAGCUACAUAUCCAUGGAGAAAAAUGGAAAUAGAGUUGACUGCCAAUCUCUGAAAUGUUCUCAAAAUGCUGUUCCCCUCCCCUGCCAAAGGCUUUUUUACCGCGUCAAGUUCAUUAAGCUCUUUCCUCAACCUUUAG
This 4494-nucleotide long non-coding RNA is filed under the name Equus caballus (horse). RNAcentral describes it as "lncRNA (ENSECAG00000044168.1)". Lineage: Eukaryota; Metazoa; Chordata; Mammalia; Perissodactyla; Equidae. The record is from RNAcentral.